CAGCCGCCGCGGGAAUACGUAGGUGGCAAGCGUUGUCCGGAAUUAUUGGGCGUAAAGGGCUCGCAGGCGGUUUCUUAAGUCUGAUGUGAAAGCCCCCGGCUCAACCGGGGAGGGUCAUUGGAAACUGGGAAACUUGAGUGCAGAAGAGGAGAGUGGAAUUCCACGUGUAGCGGUGAAAUGCGUAGAGAUGUGGAGGAACACCAGUGGCGAAGGCGACUCUCUGGUCUGUAACUGACGCUGAGGAACGAAAGCGUGGGGAGCGAACAGGAUUAGAUACCCGCGUAGUCCCUGUCUCUUAUAC
Molecule: ribosomal RNA, 301 nt
Filed under: uncultured bacterium
Lineage: Bacteria
Description: partial 16S ribosomal RNA
Rfam family: Bacterial small subunit ribosomal RNA
Source: RNAcentral